AGAGUUUGAUCCUGGCUCAGGACGAACGCUGGCGGCGUGCCUAAACCAUGCAAGUCGAACGAGGUACCGGCCUUCGGGCCGGUGUCGAGUGGCGAACGGGUGCGUAACACGUGAGAAACCUGCCCUGGAGACCGGGAUAACCAGAGGAAACCCUGGCUAAUACCGGAUGCCCCCGGAUGGUCGCAUGACCAACCGAGGAAAUGCUCUGGCGCUCCGGGAGGGUCUCGCGGCCUAUCAGCUAGUUGGUGGGGUAACGGCCUACCAAGGCUACGACGGGUAGCUGGUCUGAGAGGACGAUCAGCCACACUGGGACUGAGACACGGCCCAGACUCCUACGGGAGGCAGCAGGUGGGAAUAUUGCGCAAUGGGCGAAAGCCUGACGCAGCAACGCCGCGUGGGGGAUGAAGGCUUUCGGGUUGUAAACCCCUUUCAGCAGGGACGAAAAUGACGGUACCUGCAGAAGAAGCCCCGGCCAACUACGUGCCAGCAGCCGCGGUAACACGUAGGGGGCAAGCGUUGUCCGGAUUUAUUGGGCGUAAAGAGCUCGUAGGCGGUUGCGUAAGUCGGAUGUGAAAACUCAGGGCUCAACCCGGAGACGCCAUCCGAUACUGCGGUGACUAGAGUCCGGUAGAGGAGCAUGGAAUUCCUGGUGUAGCGGUGAAAUGCGCAGAUAUCAGGAGGAACACCAGCAGCGAAGGCGGUGCUCUGGGCCGGAACUGACGCUGAGGAGCGAAAGCGUGGGUAGCGAACAGGAUUAGAUACCCUGGUAGUCCACGCCGUAAACGUUGGGCACUAGGUGUGGGACCUACUUAACGGGUUCCGUGCCGUAGCUAAYGCAUUAAGUGCCCGCCUGGGGAGUACGGCCGCAGGCUAAACUCAAAGGAAUUGACGGGGGCCCGCACAAGCGGCGGAGCAUGUUGCUUAAUUCGAGGCAACGCGAGGAAUCUUACUGGAUUGACAUGCACGAAAAGCCAUAAAGAUAUGGUGUCGUCGGGCGUGCACAGGUGGUGCAUGCUGUCGUCAGCUCGUGUCGUGAGAUGUGGGUUAAGUUCCGCAACGAG
This 1061-nucleotide ribosomal RNA is filed under the name uncultured bacterium. RNAcentral describes it as "bacterial SSU rRNA". It matches the Rfam family "Bacterial small subunit ribosomal RNA", at positions 8 to 1096 of the family's 1533-position model. The record is from RNAcentral.